GCGGUCUCACCUGGCGGCGACCCCACCUGGCGGCGGCCGCACUCCGCGUGGGAGCCCAGAGCCGUGGCGCUGGCGUCACCUGGGCAGUUGGGAAAGCAGCGCCCGGAGCCACGGGGAGGGCAGGUGAAAGGCGGGUGGCGGGCUGCCUGCAGCGCCAGGUUUCAGUGGCUGUCCUGCUGGGGUGACCUAAGCCCUCCUCCUGGGUGAGGGGUCUGAGGCCCUGGUUACCAUGUCCUUAUCAGGCCUGGGUUGCACUUGCCCAUUCGCAGUUCCUCCUAGGCAUGGGGGUACCAAGAGAUGCCCAGGGAACCAUCUGAGCCCCAAACAAACCAUCUGACCUCCCUCUCCCCAUCAUGCGCCUGCAGCCCAGCCUUUUCCCGAUGAUUGCAGCCAUCAUUUUCCCCAGGACAGUGAUUCCUCUUUCUUCCCCCUUCUGGCCAACUGGCAUGAGGCGCCAGCCAUCAAUUUGAACUUAGUGGGAUUAUUGCUGUGUCCCGUGGUAAAUAGGUACUAGCAUCCUCCCUCUGGGCACUAAAGCUGCUAGACCCACAGAGCUCCAGGUUCCAAGGAUGAAAAGCACAAAAUCUGCAAGUGAGUCCCGGGAGAGAGAUGUCACCAGGGACAGACGUACUCCUUUCUUCCUGCUAUUAAAAUGUCAGAUCUUUGAGGGCAGCUGCUAUCCAGGUCUUGUUCACCACUGUAUCUUCAGUGCUGAGAAUGGUGCCCAGCGAAUAUUUAGUGCAAAUACUUGCCAACCAAUAUCCGGAAGCUGGCUUGAUGCUUUAUAGGGUGUGUUUAAGGAAUAUCAAACAAUACUAGCUUUUUAAAAGGCAAAUUUAUUUUUAUGAUUACCAAGUUAUACAUAUUUAUCAUAAAUGCAGAAAAAGCAGAAGAAAAUAAAAAUCACCUGGAAAUAACCAAUGUGAACUCCUACUGUACCAUGAACUUGGUCUACACUGGUGGCUUCAAGCACGUUUCUGGAGCACAGUGGUUUCAGAGAAGACACCCCAGGAGUUCUCUUGAGAGGAAAGGGGAGAGUGUAUCUGCCCCUUAAAGCUGCCAAAGAACAGGAAUUCUUUUUAAAGUUUUAUUUAAAUUUUGUUUGAAAGAAAGGGUUUGCAAUGAAAACAAUAAAAGUGGUUGAAAAAAACACCGGUCUACACCGCGGGGCUGGCAGUUCCCAUUCAGCUGACGUCCCGUUUCAUAUCACCAUCAAUAAAUAGUGCAGAUGGUCCGGGGAUCUUCUAUCGUGUAUGGCAGCUGCUGGCAUUGGACCAGCCCUUGGUGUAGACUCGCUCUCUCCUAAGAACACCGCAGAGUCAUGUGAUAGACAAAGGGAGCCUUUAGCUGCAAAAAACCAGAUGUUGCCGACUGGAAGAGACCAGUGGUAGUUGAAAGCAGAACUAUGAAUGAGUCAUGUUCAAUCAUCUCAGACAAGCAUAAAAGCAUAUAAAAGAUUAGUGCAGAAGAGAAUUUAUACCAGUCUCUGUGCCGUCUGGGAACAUGAUUUAGAUUAAAAGAAGAAGAAAAAAAUAUAUCUCCCAGCCACCUGGAGCACCGUCGUCAGAAGGCUUUUAGCAUUUGGAUUUCAAUAUCUGUCACCGUAACCGCUUAGAUGAUUUUUUAUUUUUGGAAAGCACAUUUGGUUGCCUAUCAGAACAACUAGAUCCGAAUGAGAGUUUGCCUGGUUCUGAUUCAGGUAUUAUGGCAGAGAGAGGUGACUGACUCAUAGACCUACGGGUCCCCGGAGCCAGGGCUGAGCACGCUGUGUCUCAGAUGACACAUCCAGUCCCAACGCCCCUUUGAUUUGGUGCUCAGAUAAAAAUACGUGGCCCUAUUCAACUGUGCUUGGGUUUGUCGCGUUAAGUGGCAAAUACCAGCCGGGCAAAGGACAGAGGACGUCAGAUGGAGGCCUGGUGCGAUUGCCUGGUGUCUGCGUUUAUAGGAAAGAGCUGUUCUGUUGAUUUGAAGUCUCUGAGCAAUUGCUGCUCUUCUUGGCUGCCGUUGGUUGCAAUGAACAGAGUCGACUUCACAGCCAGCAACCUGCUUACCACACAGCGCGUUGCACCACAACCUUACCAACACUUGGUAUUGUCUGACUCUUUAAUUUUAUCCAUUCUGGUGGGUAGGUGGCGGUAUCCCGCUUUGGUUUGAAGUGACAUUUUCCUGGUAACUAAUGAUGUUGAACAUUCUUUCCCUGCAUUUAGAGAACUGCUUUUGCGACAUGCCUGUUAACCCAGAUGUCCAUUAAAGUAGUUUGGAAGAUGG
Microcebus murinus (gray mouse lemur) is the source of this 2268-nucleotide non-coding RNA. The record is from RefSeq and is a predicted model, not a curated record. NCBI's taxonomy places the organism in Eukaryota, Metazoa, Chordata, Mammalia, Primates, Cheirogaleidae.